CCCCUUUAAGGGUCGCAUUUGGAGAGUAUCCAGUGCUCUAUCAGUCUCGGCUAAGGGAGGGAGAGUAAAGCAGAGGUCUAUCCAUUCCAUUCCUAGCUUGGCCAGUGGCUAGUGAGUGAAGACAAUCUGCUGCAAGU
Ornithorhynchus anatinus (platypus) is the source of this 137-nucleotide non-coding RNA. The record is from Rfam. NCBI's taxonomy places the organism in Eukaryota, Metazoa, Chordata, Mammalia, Monotremata, Ornithorhynchidae.